RNAcentral lists this ribosomal RNA (249 nucleotides) under uncultured bacterium. Its description in RNAcentral is "partial 16S ribosomal RNA". It matches the Rfam family "Bacterial small subunit ribosomal RNA", at positions 15 to 255 of the family's 1533-position model. The record is from RNAcentral.
GAUCCUGGCUCAGGAUAGACGCUAGCGGCAGGCCUAACACAUGCAAGUCGAGGGGCAGCGGGUGAAGUAGCUUGCUACUUCUGCCGGCGACCGGCGCACGGGUGCGUAACGCGUAUGCAACCUACCUUUAACAGGGGAAUAAUCCGAAGAAAUUUGGUCUAAUACCCCAUAAUAUUUCAGAAGGCAUCUUUUGGAGUUGAAAGCUCCGGCGGUUAAAGAUGGGCAUGCGUUGUAUUAGCCAGAUGGUGG